GACGAACGCUGGCGGCGUGCUUAACACAUGCAAGUCGAGCGGUAAGGCCCUUUCGGGGGUACACGAGCGGCGAACGGGUGAGUAACACGUGGGUGACCUGCCCUCAGCUCUGGGAUAAGCCUGGGAAACCGGGUCUAAUACCGGAUAUGACUCCAUGACGCAUGUUGUGGGGUGGAAAGCCUUGUGCGGCUGAGGAUGGGCCCGCGGCCUAUCAGCUUGUUGGUGGGGUGAUGGCCACCAAGGCGACGACGGGUAGCCGGCCUGAGAGGGCGACCGGCCACACUGGGACUGAGACACGGCCCAGACUCCUACGGGAGGGCAGCAGUGGGGAAUCUUGCGCAAUGGGCGGAAAGCCUGACGCAGCGACGCCGCGUGAGGGAUGACGGCCCUCGGGUUGUAAACCUCUUUCAGCUCCGACGAAGCGAGAGUGACGGUAGGAGCAGAAGAAGCACCGGCCAACUACGUGCCAGCCGCCGCGGUAAGACCUGAGACGCCAAGGC
RNAcentral lists this ribosomal RNA (500 nucleotides) under uncultured bacterium. RNAcentral's name for it is "bacterial SSU rRNA". It matches the Rfam family "Bacterial small subunit ribosomal RNA", at positions 28 to 539 of the family's 1533-position model. The record is from RNAcentral.